UACAGAGGGUGCGAGCGUUGUCCGGAAUUACUGGGCGUAAAGGGCUCGUAGGCGGCCAACUAAGUCAGACGUGAAAUCCCUCGGCUUAACCGGGGAACUGCGUCUGAUACUGGAUGGCUCGAGUUUGGGAGAGGGAUGCGGAAUUCCAGGUGUAGCGGUGAAAUGCGUAGAUAUCUGGAGGAACACCGGUGGCGAAGGCGGCAUCCUGGACCAACACUGACGCUGAUGAGCGAAAGCCAGGGGAGCAAACGGG
RNAcentral lists this ribosomal RNA (253 nucleotides) under uncultured bacterium. Its description in RNAcentral is "partial 16S ribosomal RNA". It matches the Rfam family "Bacterial small subunit ribosomal RNA", at positions 524 to 776 of the family's 1533-position model. The record is from RNAcentral.